CCCCUGCGCUUGGGCGCGGCCGGGGUGGAGGGGGGCGCGGCGGGAGCCGGGGCUGGCGGGGUCCACACGGGCUCUGCCUGGGGGCUCACGCUGGCCGGGGGAGGAGGGGGAGGCCGGGCCGGAGGCUCGUCGUCCUCAGGGAGCUUGGAGGGCGAGACUGCGGCAGCAGACAGCGGGGAUGGCGCGGGCACGGUCGACGACACCGGGCUCGGGUCCCAAGACGGCUGCCGCUCCGGGGCGACGGGGGGAGCGGCCGGCAGGGGUCCCCGGGGCGCCGGCGGCACGAAGUCAUUUCCGAAGUCCAUCAGGGGCGCGCCGGCGGCAGGGGCGGUGGGCACUGGGGCCGCGGACAGCCCGGCGGCGGGCUUCCUCUCCAGCACCUCCAGCUCCUCCAGGUCUUCGUCCUCGUCCUCCUCUUCCUCCUCCUCUUCUUCCUCCUCGUCUUCCAU
RNAcentral lists this long non-coding RNA (449 nucleotides) under Homo sapiens (human). Its description in RNAcentral is "long non-coding RNA NONHSAT070759.2". The record is from RNAcentral. Lineage: Eukaryota; Metazoa; Chordata; Mammalia; Primates; Hominidae.